CCUACGGGUGGCAGCAGUGAGGAAUAUUGGUCAAUGGGCGCGAGCCUGAACCAGCCAAGUAGCGUGAAGGAUGAAUGCCCUACGGGUUGUAAACUUCUUUUAUAAAGGAAUAAAGUGAGGCACGUGUGCCUUUUUGUAUGUACUUUAUGAAUAAGGAUCGGCUAACUCCGUGCCAGCAGCCGCGGUAAUACGGAGGUUCCGAGCGUUAUCCGGAUUGAUUGGGUUUAAAGGGAGCGUAGAUGGGUUGUUAAGUCAGUUGUGAAAGUUUGCGGCUCAACCGUGAAAGUGCAAUUGAUACUGGCAGUCUUGAGUACAGUUGAGGUGGGCGGAAUUCGUGGUGUAGCGGUGAAAUGCUUAGAUAUCACGAAGAACACCGAUUGCGAAGGCAGCUUACUAGACUGCCACUGACAUUGAUGCUCGAAAGUGUGGGUAUCAAACAGGAUUAGAUACCCUUGUAGUC
Molecule: ribosomal RNA, 460 nt
Filed under: uncultured bacterium
Lineage: Bacteria
Description: partial 16S ribosomal RNA
Rfam family: Bacterial small subunit ribosomal RNA
Source: RNAcentral